This 305-nucleotide ribosomal RNA is filed under the name uncultured bacterium. RNAcentral's name for it is "bacterial SSU rRNA". It matches the Rfam family "Bacterial small subunit ribosomal RNA", at positions 337 to 640 of the family's 1533-position model. The record is from RNAcentral.
ACCUACGGGGGGCAGCAGUGAGGAAUAUUGGUCAAUGGUCGGGAGACUGAACCAGCCAAGCCGCGUGAGGGAGGAAGGUACAGAGUAUCGUAAACCUCUUUUGUCAGGGAACAAAGGCGGGGACGUGUCCCCGGAUGAGUGUACCUGAAGAAAAAGCAUCGGCUAACUCCGUGCCAGCAGCCGCGGUAAUACGGAGGAUGCGAGCGUUAUCCGGAUUUAUUGGGUUUAAAGGGUGCGCAGGCGGUCUGUUAAGUCAGCGGCCAAAGCCCGGGGCUCAACCCCGGCCCGCCGUUGAAACUGGCAGU